This is a small nuclear RNA of Oryctolagus cuniculus (rabbit), 102 nucleotides long. The record is from Ensembl. NCBI's taxonomy places the organism in Eukaryota, Metazoa, Chordata, Mammalia, Lagomorpha, Leporidae.
GUGCUCACUUUGGCAGCACACAUACUAAAAUUGGAAUGACAAAGAUAAGCAUGGCCCCUGUACAAGGAUGACACACAAACUAAAUAAAACUCUUUUACUUAG